This 65-nucleotide small RNA is filed under the name Sporolactobacillus nakayamae. RNAcentral's name for it is "Bacillaceae-1 RNA". It matches the Rfam family "Bacillaceae-1 RNA". Lineage: Bacteria; Bacillati; Bacillota; Bacilli; Caryophanales; Sporolactobacillaceae. The record is from RNAcentral.
AAGAUAGGAUUACAGGCAAAAACGCAACGUCCUGUUGCAUCGCCUGCACUAGCCCAUCCUGGGCG